This 481-nucleotide ribosomal RNA is filed under the name uncultured bacterium. RNAcentral describes it as "partial 16S ribosomal RNA". It matches the Rfam family "Bacterial small subunit ribosomal RNA", at positions 28 to 507 of the family's 1533-position model. The record is from RNAcentral.
GAUGAACGCUGGCGGCGUGCUUAACACAUGCAAGUCGAACGAAGCACUUUAUUUGAUUUCCUUCGGGACUGAUUAUUUUGUGACUGAGUGGCGGACGGGUGAGUAACGCGUGGGUAACCUGCCUUGUACAGGGGGAUAACAGGUGGAAACGGCUGCUAAUACCGCAUAAGCGCACAGCAUCGCAUGAUGCAGUGUGAAAAACUCCGGUGGUAUAAGAUGGACCCGCGUUGGAUUAGCUAGUUGGGGAGGUAACGGCCCACCAAGGCGACGAUCCAUAGCCGACCUGAGAGGGUGACCGGCCACAUUGGGACUGAGACACGGCCCAAACUCCUACGGGAGGCAGCAGUGGGGAAUAUUGCACAAUGGGCGAAAGCCUGAUGCAGCGACGCCGCGUGAGCGAAGAAGUAUUUCGGUAUGUAAAGCUCUAUCAGCAGGGAAGAUAAUGACGGUACCUGACUAAGAAGCACCGGCUAAAUACGUG